RNAcentral lists this ribosomal RNA (650 nucleotides) under uncultured Chloroflexota bacterium. RNAcentral describes it as "bacterial SSU rRNA". It matches the Rfam family "Bacterial small subunit ribosomal RNA", at positions 145 to 811 of the family's 1533-position model. Lineage: Bacteria; Bacillati; Chloroflexota. The record is from RNAcentral.
AACAGUUCGAAAGGACUGCUAAUGCCGCAUGUGGUCAUGAUAGUUGGAGAGUUAUGACUAAAGGAGAGAUCCACUUUGGGAGGGACCUGCGUCCCAUCAGCUAGUUGGUAGGGUAAAGGCCUACCAAGGCGAAGACGGGUAGGGGGCCUGAGAGGGUGACCCCCCACACUGGCACUGAAACACGGGCCAGACACCUACGGGUGGCAGCAGUAGGGAAUAUUGCACAAUGGGCGAAAGCCUGAUGCAGCAACGCCGCGUGCGCGAAGAAGGCCUUCGGGUCGUAAAGCGCUUUUCGGGGAGAUGAGGAAGGACAGUAUCCCCGGAAUAAGGCUCGGCUAACUACGUGCCAGCAGCCGCGGUAACACGUAGGAGCCAAGCGUUAUCCGAAUUCACUGGGCGUAAAGCGCGUGCAGGCGGUGCGAUAAGUUGGAUGUGAAAGCUCCUGGCUCAACUGGGAGAGGCCGUUCAAUACUGUUGCACUAGAGGACGGCAGAGGGAGGUGGAAUUCCCGGUGUAGUGGUGAAAUGCGUAGAUAUCGGGAGGAACACCAGUGGCGAAGGCGGCCUUCUGGGCCGUACCUGACGCUCAGACGCGAAAGCUAGGGGAGCGAACGGGAUUAGAAACCCCGGUAGUCCUAGCCGUAAACGAUG